RNAcentral lists this ribosomal RNA (402 nucleotides) under uncultured prokaryote. RNAcentral describes it as "bacterial SSU rRNA". It matches the Rfam family "Bacterial small subunit ribosomal RNA", at positions 355 to 774 of the family's 1533-position model. The record is from RNAcentral.
UAGGGAAUAUUGGUAAUCUGGGAAACCGGGAACCUGCAACGCCGCGUGCGCGAUGAAGGCCUUCGGGUUGUAAAGCGCUUUUUGAGAGGAUGAGGAAGGACAGUACUCUUAGAAUAAGCCUCGGCUAACUACGUGCCAGCAGCCGCGGUAAAACGUAGGAGGCGAGCGUUAUCCGGAUUUACUGGGCGUAAAGCGUGUGUAGGCGGUUUGAUAAGUUGGAUGUGAAAGCUCCUGGCUUAACUGGGAGAGGUCGUUCAAAACUAUCAGACUUGAGAGUGGUAGAGGGAGGUGGAAUUCCGCAUGUAGUGGUGAAAUGCGUAGAUAUGCGGAGUAACACCAGUGGCGAAAGCGGCCUCCUUGCACAUUUCUGACGCUGAGACACGAAAGCUAAGGUAAUAAACG